Molecule: long non-coding RNA, 250 nt
Filed under: Mustela putorius furo (domestic ferret)
Lineage: Eukaryota; Metazoa; Chordata; Mammalia; Carnivora; Mustelidae
Description: lncRNA (ENSMPUG00000024963.1)
Source: RNAcentral
AUUCAACAACUGCUGUGGUACCCAACAUGUUGAAGUCACACAGACGUGAAUGCUCCCUGUCUGUGGUAAUCACCAGCAGGAGAGAAGAGCCAGGAGAUCUUCCUUAGAUCCUCAACUUCAGAACCUGGUGGAGUUACUAGAGGUAAAACCCCUGAAAGUGUGACAUUACCCUAAGACUGAAGACCAAGAAAUUUCUCAUUUUCAUGGUAGUCCACAUCUAGCCUUCAGUGAUUGCUCAAGUGUACCAUGU